RNAcentral lists this ribosomal RNA (497 nucleotides) under uncultured bacterium. Its description in RNAcentral is "partial 16S ribosomal RNA". It matches the Rfam family "Bacterial small subunit ribosomal RNA", at positions 28 to 507 of the family's 1533-position model. The record is from RNAcentral.
GACGAACGCUGGCGGCGUGCCUAAUACAUGCAAGUUGAGCGCUGAAGGUUGGUACUUGUACCAACUGGAUGAGCAGCGAACGGGUGAGUAACACGUGGGGAAUCUGCCUUUGAGCGGGGGACAACAUUUGGAAACGAAUGCUAAUACCGCAUAAAAACUUUAAACACAAGUUUUAAGUUUGAAAGAUGCAAUUGCAUCACUCAAAGAUGAUCCCGCGUUGUAUUAGCUAGUCGGUGAGGUAAAGGCUCACCAAGGCGAUGAUACAUAGCCGACCUGAGAGGGUGAUCGGCCACAUUGGGACUGAGACACGGCCCAAACUCCUACGGGAGGCAGCAGUAGGGAAUCUUCGGCAAUGGACGAAAGUCUGACCGAGCAACGCCGCGUGAGUGAAGAAGGUUUUCGGAUCGUAAAACUCUGUUGGUAGAGAAGAACGUUGGUGAGAGUGGAAAGCUCAUCAAGUGACGGUAACUACCCAGAAAGGGACGGCUAACUACGUG